Molecule: long non-coding RNA, 1107 nt
Organism: Perca fluviatilis (European perch)
Lineage: Eukaryota; Metazoa; Chordata; Actinopteri; Perciformes; Percidae
Exons: 3
Source: RefSeq, a predicted model, not a curated record
UUUAAUGGAGGUGUUAAGGUAAAAAGGCAACCAUGAAAUAUUCUGUCACUCACCUUCCUUCAGCUGCUCCUCUGCAACCUCUGUGUCAUUGUCUGGCAGGGGGGAAAAGACAGCAUGUCAAACCAUGCUAUUUCAUAAUGUACGAUACACCGCCAUGCUCUGAAAUCUUACCAACAACCCUUCACAGCCUCCCUGAAUUCCCCCACCAGACGGCCUUGGAUCUAUCUAUUUUGUGAGACAGACUAAGACAACUAAAGGUAUUUCUGGGUGGAUGAGUUGAGAUGCACAGAGGGAGAUGAGAAGGAGACGUUGGAUGCUGCAGAGGGAGGAACUGCCGAGGGAGAGACAGGGAGAGAGCAACUGUGGAUGCCUGCUCACGGAUCCCGGCUCCCAUCCUACGAACACACACACUCAGAUCUCAGCAUGCAACAUUCUUUGAGUCAAGCCACUGUAUAGUAUGUGUGAGCUUGUGUGUUAUUAUGCAUGGUUCAUCUGGAUGUGUGAGGGCAAGCGAAUGAUGUGACUAUACUAUAUGACUAUACGUGUGUGUGUGUAAGGCUGUGCACGAGUCUGAGCAAUGAUUGCACUGCGGUUAACAAGAAAAAGAAAGCGUUAGCUUUGAUGAAAGGCUGUUGUCAUCUGUUCUGUAGAAGUGUAACCAUCAGAGCUCCCUGUGGAUCCAGCGACAGACUUUUCUUUUGUAUAACACUGAAUAAAAGGGUACAGUGCAUUAAUCUAACCCUGCUUGGGGAAACAAAGGAUGGCCCACUGAUACAGUAUAACAAUAGUGUAAGAAUGGAAACAUGGGGUGUACCAGCUACUGCCACAUGCUAUAACAUUAUUGCCACUGCUCAACACUGCUGUCAGCACAGGAUAUGUAUGUGACUGGAAUAACAAUAUAUGACACCUUUAUUUAUUUCUAGGGGUAAAGACAACACAAUCGCAGCUUCACACAAGGGAUUCUUACUAUACUAUAUGGCUUUCUUGAUCUUGAUUAAACAAACACUAUCAUGAUAUGAAACAGAUGAGAGAAACUAUCAGCUGUUUUAUUUUUGAGAAAUAUGCUAAUUUCCUUUUUUUCCUGAGGGUUCGAUGAGAGGAUCAAUG